ACUCAAAGGAAUUGACGGGGCCCCGCACAAGCGGCGGAGCAUGCGGAUUAAUUCGAUGCAACGCGAAGAACCUUACCUGGGUUUGACAUACACUAGAAGCAUUCAGAGAUGGGUGUGCCCUUGUGGCUGGUGUACAGGUGGUGCAUGGCUGUCGUCAGCUCGUGUCGUGAGAUGUUGGGUUAAGUCCCGCAACGAGCGCAACCCUUGUCCCAUGUUGCCAGCGGGUUAUGCCGGGGACUCAUGGGAGACUGCCGGGGUCAACUCGGAGGAAGGUGGGGAUGACGUCAAGUCAUCAUGCCCCUUAUGUCCAGGGCUUCACGCAUGCUACAAUGGCCGGUACAAAGAGUAGCGAUCCCGUGAGGGUGGGCGAAUCUCAGAAAGCCGGUCUCAGUUCGGAUUGGGGUCUGCAACUCGACCCCAUGAAGUCGGAGUCGCUAGUAAUCCCGGAUCAGCAACGCCGGGGUGAAUACGUUCCCGGGGCUUGCACACACCGCCCGU
RNAcentral lists this ribosomal RNA (498 nucleotides) under uncultured bacterium. Its description in RNAcentral is "bacterial SSU rRNA". It matches the Rfam family "Bacterial small subunit ribosomal RNA", at positions 899 to 1397 of the family's 1533-position model. The record is from RNAcentral.